CAUAGCGACUAUCGUGGCAUAUCAAUAAGCGGAGGAAAAGAAACUAACAAGGAUUCCCCUAGUAACGGCGAGUGAAGCGGGAAGAGCUCAAAUUUGAAAUCUUAAAGGGUUUCCCUUUACGAAUUGUAGUUUAUAAGAAGUGUUUUCUGCUAGUAGAGUGGCUAAAAGUUCUUUGGAAUAGGACAUCAUAGAGGGUGAGAAUCCCGUAUUUGGUCAGUUACUUUCUAGCUGUGUGAUACACUUUCAAAGAGUCGGAUUGUUUGGGAAUGCAGUCCAAAAUGGGUGGUAAAUUUCAUCUAAAGCUAAAUAUUGGCGAGAGACCGAUAGCGAACAAGUACCGUGAGGGAAAGAUGAAAAGAACUUUGAAAAGAGAGUUAAACAGUACGUGAAAUUGUCAAAAGGGAAGCGUUUGACACCAGUGUUGUUUAGUUGAAAAUCAAUUCAAUAGUUUUUGAUUCUAAGUAGUAUUGACUUCAUCAGCUUGCUGCUUUCUUCUCAGAAAUUAUUGAAUGCACUUUUCAGUUAACAAGUCAACAUCAAUUUCUUUUGUUGUAAAAGGGUAAGAGGAAGGUGGCUUGCGCUUCGGCUCAAGUGUUUAUAGCCUUUUAUCUCUGCAAUCGGAGAGAUUGAGGUCUGCAGCGUAGAUCCUUCGGGGUUAGAUACAUUGGUGCUAAGCUAUAGCCUUGUAUAGACAACUUGUUGACUAUGCUCAGUCAUGUAGCUUACUCGCUGAUGCUAUUUUACCUACGCUUAGGAUGUUGAUAGUCACAGCGUGUAC
Molecule: ribosomal RNA, 778 nt
Filed under: uncultured Neocallimastigales
Lineage: Eukaryota; Fungi; Neocallimastigomycota; Neocallimastigomycetes; Neocallimastigales
Description: partial large subunit ribosomal RNA
Rfam family: Eukaryotic large subunit ribosomal RNA
Source: RNAcentral